UAAAAGAAAGAGGAGCCGGUAUCAGGCUCAAUUCGCCCAUGACACCUAGCUCCGCCACACCCCCAAGGGUAUUCAGCAGUGAUCAACAUUGUAAACUAGCGCAAGCUAAAUUCAGUUACUAGCUAAAAAAACCGGUCAAUCUCGUGCCAGCCACCGCGGUUAUACGGGCAGGUUUAAAUUGAUAAGAUCGGCACAAAGCGUGGUUAGAUCCUUACCUCAAUAAAGCAAAAAGAAAGCCCGGCUGUGAUAUGCUUACGCUUUUAAUAACUUCAAUCACGAAAGUAGCUUUAACUCUUAUUGAACCCACGAUCGCUAGGGCACAAACUGGGAUUAGAUACCCCACUAUGCCUAGCCCUAAACUUUGACUUCUCCGCCUGGGGACUACGAGCGUUAGCUUAAAACCCAAAAGACUUGGCGGUGCCCUACACCACCUAGAGGAGCCUGUUCUAUAAUCGAUAAUCCCCGAUUCACCUCACCACCUCUUGCCGAUACCGCCUGUAUACCUCCGUCGCCAACUGACCCCUUAAGGGUAUUAGUCGGUUAAAUGGCCUUCCUCCAGUAAGUCAGGUCAAGGUGCAGCGAAUGAGAUGGGAAGAAAUGGGCUACAUUUUCUACUAAUAGACUACACGAAAGAUCACUAUGAAAUCUGAUUGGAAGGUGGAUUUAGCAGUAAAAAGAGACUAGAGCGCUCUUUUUAAGUUGGCUCUAGGGCGCGCACACACCGCCCGUC
Molecule: ribosomal RNA, 730 nt
Filed under: Megophrys sp. 6 ZL-2018
Lineage: Eukaryota; Metazoa; Chordata; Amphibia; Anura; Megophryidae
Description: partial 12S rRNA'
Rfam family: Bacterial small subunit ribosomal RNA
Source: RNAcentral